Molecule: transfer RNA, 57 nt
Organism: Ovis aries (sheep)
Lineage: Eukaryota; Metazoa; Chordata; Mammalia; Artiodactyla; Bovidae
Rfam family: tRNA
About the family: Transfer RNA (tRNA) molecules are approximately 80 nucleotides in length. Their secondary structure includes four short double-helical elements and three loops (D, anti-codon, and T loops).
Source: Rfam
UGGCUCAGACGGUAAAGCGUCUGCCUAUAAUGCAGAAGACCCAGGUUCAAUCCCUGG